AAAUUAGCUCCAGUGAGAAUCAGAACCCAUGCAGAUCUGCCAGCUGCAAAAUGUCUUACCUGCUGAGAUGCCGGGGUGCUGUCACACAGAAACACAGGGAUCCCCAGAGCCAGGGAACUCGUAAUAUCCUUGAAGCUUUGCCACUGGAAUGAAAGCUCUGCUAUUCCAUUUGGGCCAUGGUCACAGGUGUCCGUGCCAACCAGGCCAGGGGACUGGCCCAACAUGGUUAUGUUUAGGAGCACCUCUCCACCUGCCUUGCAUGUGGGCUUGGAUACGAGGGACUCAAGAGGACAAAGCUGCAAGUGACACCAACAUCAGAGCUCGGUUGUGACAAGUUUUGGGACUGGGCCAGUACACAAAACAACUGACUUCGCAUUUUCCAAGAUCACUCAAAACCAACAAAAAUGACACUCUGUCCGCUGAGAUGAACUCCAGGAGGACCACUUUUUUGCUGUGUAUCCUGAAAGGAGGCUCCCAGCCCUACCUGUGAGGUGGGAGGGAAGGAGACAUGGCAGAAACUACCCACAGCAGCUGGGUGGUCGCCAAAGGAAUCAAUGGGACGGCCAGUUACUGAGGAUGGUCCAGGAUUGAGGUACUACACUGGGGUUGUGAUUGUCCCUUCCAUGAUGACUUGGCAAACUCCAAGACAAAGCUUUCACUCCUGCUACAGGGAAUUCUCCCCCAGGAGGAGGAGCUGUCAUCCCCUCCCCAAUCCGUCCUCGCAGCGAGGGCAGAAUGGGAGCCCGGCCUCAGCCGGCCUCAAGGAAGUAAAAGUCAUGGAGAUUUUAUUCCACACCUGGCUCCGUGCUGGGCGCUUAGCUGGUUAUUUCUUAGACCUACUGACAACUCCAUGAAGAGGCGUCAGACAACAGAGACAAGGAGCAGUUGAGGGAGUGGCCCCAGGUCAGCCAGCUGGUGGACCAGGUAAUAUUGCAAGGAGUAUUAAUUCAAAUACUGCUCACAGAGGACACAAAGUGAGCAGAGGCAGGGAGAUGACAGGGACUUUGCAGACCCUAGGGCUGGUGCCAGCAGGCCUAAAGAGGGGAGUCCCAGAGCCCAGGAGGCGAGAGUUGUGUGGAGAGGGCCACCUGGAAAGGAGGCACAGCCAGCGCCCAGUGAUCCCCAAGGAAUAGAGUCCCUAAUCUCCCUCCCUCCCUCCAAUCUCCUGCCUGGGCUGCCCAUUGGCUAAACGGAAACAGAAGCCAGGGGACUGGGGAGAGCAGGCCCACCUCUGUGGGCAGAAAGGAAGGUAGAGGGAGGUGUGGAGAAGGCUCUGGAGCAGAGCAUGCAGCUACAGGAAAGAGCUCUGGGAUGAGGCCCCAGCUGGACAUGAGUGAUCCCUAUGAACGUGGGUAUGUGCCCUCCUCUUUACAGGCCUCAAUUUCCUUCUGCGUAACACGGAGAGGUUGAAAAAGUGCCUUCUAAGAGCCUUUUCCUAUUUAACAUGCUAUGAUCUUGACACCUCCGUAAUGUAGUAUGGCUACUCCCUUCUCAGCUUCUUGAGACUGGAUUUGGCUGCAAUUAACGGAUAACACAAAUAAAAGUGGCUUAAAGAGGAUAGGGAAGGAUGUUUCUCUUAUGCAAAAGAAGUCCAGCGGAGGGCAGUCCAAAACUGUUAGGGAAGCCCCUCGGAGACCCUCCUUACCGCCUUCUUUGGCAGGGGUUUUUCCCCUUGUGGUCACAGGAUGGCUCCUGGAGCUCCAGUCCUCAUGUCCCUGUUCCAGGAAGACAGAGGAGAAGGUCAAAGGGCAGAAGGGACUUUCCUAGAAGCCUCACCCAACAUCUUCCACAGAAUCUCUUUUGACACAACUGUGUCACAGG
Molecule: long non-coding RNA, 1821 nt
Filed under: Equus caballus (horse)
Lineage: Eukaryota; Metazoa; Chordata; Mammalia; Perissodactyla; Equidae
Description: lncRNA (ENSECAG00000052331.1)
Source: RNAcentral